UUCGGGACGCCGGCGAGUGGCGAACGGGUGAGUAACACGUGGAGACCUGCCCUGAGGUGGGGGAUAACAGCUAGAAAUGGCUGCUAAUACCGCAUACGCCUUACGAGGGAAAGAUUUAUUGCCUCAGGAGGGUUCCGCGUCGGAUUAGCUUGUUGGUGGGGUAACGGCCUACCAAGGCGAUGAUCCGUAGCUGGUCUUAGAGGAUGAUCAGCCACACUGGGACUGAGACACGGCCCAGACUCCUACGGGAGGCAGCAGUGGGGAAUAUUGCGCAAUGGAGGCAACUCUGACGCAGCGAUGCCGCGUGGGUGAAUAAGGCCUUAGGGUUGUAAAGCCCUUUCAGUGGAAAGAUGAUGACGGUACCCACAGAAGAAGCCCCGGCUAACUCCGUGCCAGCAGCCGCGGUAAUACGGAGGGGGCGAGCGUUGUUCGGAAUUAUUGGGCGUAAAGAGCGCGUAGGCGGUUUAUUAAG
This 472-nucleotide ribosomal RNA is filed under the name uncultured Magnetococcus sp. Its description in RNAcentral is "bacterial SSU rRNA". It matches the Rfam family "Bacterial small subunit ribosomal RNA", at positions 79 to 587 of the family's 1533-position model. Lineage: Bacteria; Pseudomonadati; Pseudomonadota; Magnetococcia; Magnetococcales; Magnetococcaceae. The record is from RNAcentral.